Molecule: ribosomal RNA, 323 nt
Filed under: uncultured Bacillota bacterium
Lineage: Bacteria; Bacillati; Bacillota
Description: bacterial SSU rRNA
Rfam family: Bacterial small subunit ribosomal RNA
Source: RNAcentral
GAUGAACGCUGGCGGCGUGCCUAAUGCAUGCAAGUCGUACGGCCUGAUUUAUCAGGCAGUGGCAGACGGGUGAGUAACGCGUGGGCAACCUGCCCUGCAGAUUGGGAUAACUCCGGGAAACCGGGGCUAAAUACCGAAUAAUAUCGAAGAUUUCAUGAUCUUCUUUUGAAAGACGGUUUCGGCUGUCACUGCAGGAUGGGCCCGCGGCGCAUUAGCUAGUUGGUGAGGUAACGGCUCGACCAAGGCAACGAUGCGUAGCCGACCUGAGAGGGUGAUCGGCCACACUGGGACUGAGACACGGCCCAGACUCCUACGGGUGGCAG